Molecule: long non-coding RNA, 824 nt
Organism: Pecten maximus
Lineage: Eukaryota; Metazoa; Mollusca; Bivalvia; Pectinida; Pectinidae
Exons: 2
Source: RefSeq, a predicted model, not a curated record
CUAGCAUGUAUAUUUGGAUAUUAGUUGUGUAGUUUUUUGGUAAAUAUAUUAUUUUUAACUUAAGCCGGGGUAAGUAUCCUUAAACGUAAUAGGUACUCUUGGGCGGAAAUGCGUCACGGGUAAGUGUGCACGAGCUGGGUUGUUUACAAGGAAAGACAUUGUUCCUUUGUUCUGUGUACCCGGUAUGGAUUUAUCGACAUUUAACGGCAUGUGAACCAGGCACAGACUACAGACUGUGCUUCACAUGACGGGAGUUGAAGCCGUGCGGAUUAGUCAGGACCGGGCAGGAUGAUCCCUCUUAUACCAUCUCAGCAUCAGGACCGACCAGGAACGUGUGUUCAACUUGUUCCAUCAGGGUCAAGGUCAGCAAGGGUCUACUGAGGGCUUUUCCAUGCGGGAAAAGGUUGGCGACUUCCAAGUGAGCAUCACUGGCUUUUGAGGAAAUGUAAACCCUAGUGAUUGCUGUUGUCUAUUAGACACUAGUGACAUAUCCUCUUGGACAUGUGAGCUCUGGAUUGAGCUAUAUAUAUAUAUAUAAUAUAUAUUUCAGUAUUUGUAUCAAUACCCACUGGCUCUGGAUUGAGCUGUUUCAUACAAUAUUGGAAAGACUGUUGGCUCUGGAUUGAGCUGUUACAUACAUUAUUGGAAAGACUGUUUGGCUCUGGAAUUGAGUGUUUGUUUCAUCGUGUUGUGAUGCUACAUAGACAUUCUUAGAAUACUUUGUUGAGAGUGUGUGAGAUAGUGAGAGUGUAUGGUUGUAUUGUUAAUAUAUACGUUAUACAUAUUGUUUUGCAUUGUAAAUAAACAUAAUCAUAUUUGUGUAA